Molecule: ribosomal RNA, 482 nt
Filed under: uncultured bacterium
Lineage: Bacteria
Description: bacterial SSU rRNA
Rfam family: Bacterial small subunit ribosomal RNA
Source: RNAcentral
UUGAACGCUGGCGGCAUGCUUUACACAUGCAAGUCGAACGGCAGCACGGGGGCAACCCUGGUGGCGAGUGGCGAACGGGUGAGUAAUACAUUGGAACGUGUCCUGUAGUGGGGGAUAACCCACCGAAAGGUGAGCUAAUACCGCAUACGCCCUGAGGGGGAAAGCAGGGGAUCUUCGGACCUUGUGCGAAUGGAGCGGCCGAUGUCAGAUUAGCUAGUUGGUGGGGUAAAGGCCCACCAAGGCGACGAUCUGUAGCGGGUCUGAGAGGAUGAUCCGCCACACUGGGACUGAGACACGGCCCAGACUCCUACGGGAGGCAGCAGUGGGGAAUUUUGGACAAUGGGCGCAAGCCUGAUCCAGCCAUGCCGCGUGCGGGACGAAGGCCUUCGGGUUGUAAACCGCUUUCAGCCGGAAAGAAAUCGUCAAGGCUAAUAUCCUUGAUGGAUGACGGUACCGGAAGAAGAAGCACCGGCUAACUACGU